This is a long non-coding RNA of Pseudopipra pipra, 7549 nucleotides long. RefSeq lists it as uncharacterized. NCBI's taxonomy places the organism in Eukaryota, Metazoa, Chordata, Aves, Passeriformes, Pipridae. The record is from RefSeq and is a predicted model, not a curated record. The transcript is spliced from 2 exons.
GACAUCUGUUGGACAAGACAAAAGGUUGCAAGGAGGCAGGAUGUGAAUUGGGAGAUCACUGGAGACACUCCCUUCCUUCCCCUCUCCCUGAUCCAACAUGAACACGGGCAAGAGGGCACCUGACACCACACUGAAACCACAACCAGAACACCCCAGAAGACAGGAACAUCCUCCCUCACAGAGGAUCACACCACUGUUUCUUUUCUCCAUGAGGUAAGAGCAUCCAAAAAUCCAGUCUGCAAAAAAAACUACAUCCUUCCACCCCAUCCAGGUGUCACACAGAGAAGUUAAUGCACAGAGCACACAGUCAGAUACUGCAGCUGCUCAGGGAGAUCUAAGCAAGAACAAGCACCUGCUGCCUGCAGGACCAGCAGAUACAGGUGCAAACAGGAAAUGGAAAACCCUUUCCAUGAACAGUCCUACCCCACAUCACUGCACCCCCCAACCCCACAGCUACCAGAGCAACACGGUCCUACUCCACUCAAAUCCAGCCCUCUGAGCUUGGGGCCUGAACUGCAGGUCCCCCACACAGCAAAGUGCCACCUGGCCACAAGGUUCUCACCAAAUCUUCAGCAUCACUUGGAAAUCUGACUAACAGUAAAGCAAAAUGAUGGUUUGGUGAGAGGGGUCCUAAACGCCCCCGUUCAAGAGCCAGAGGGGCUUCCAGUCCAGCACACUUACAAAGAGUGUGAUGGAAGUACAACAACUUUUCUAGCACUCCCCACUGCUACCCAGAGGAUCUGAUACCCAGUAAGAAAACACUGCCUUGUCCUCAAGCUGAGAAGGCAAAACGAAGCUCCAGGAAGUUCCAAAACAAACUGAUUUUUCUUGUUACAAAAUGACAGAAUUUGUGACUUGGAGGAGAACGAGGACAUUACACACCUACUUCACUCCGCAAUUGCACUCUGUGGGAACUCACUGAGAGAGAAACAAUUUUGGCAGAUGUGGGUCAGCAAGAGCUAUGAUCUCAUAGUCUGAGAAGCAACAGGCUGCUCUCCAAGGGGGAAGAGCCUUCUGGCUCAAAACCUGUGCUUACCUUCCACUGUUCCUUGCAGAAUGUAUAGGGCACAGAUUUUCGGAUUGUCAUAGUAGCCCUAGAGAAAGCAAAGGCAGCAGUCAGUGCUGCAGUUCUGAGGCAAGGAAUGGUCUCCCCACAUCCCAUCCCCUCUCCUCCAGCACAGAGCUGCACUGCACAGCUGGGGAACAAGGAGAAAGGGGAGAUCAGGGCUCUGCCCUGGAAAGCUUAUUACCUUUACAAACUCAAUGUGGAGCUUCCCCGUGAACGUGGAAACCUCCCCCUGGACACUCAGUUUCCCCUUUUUGAUACUCAUGGGAAUGAUCUCAUCGUGAGCUGUGCUGUGUCCAACUCUGUCAAAAAUGUCCAAGUCUUUCACCACCACGUGGCCAUUCAAGCGAACAUCAAAUACCUUCAGGGUGAAAGAAACGACAGAGAGUCAGAACAGAUUCAGGCACGUGACAGCUGAAAUGGGAACAGAACAGGAAAGGUCUCUGCUUGUUAUGCACCCAGGACCUGAAAGCACUGUAACAUGCACUGCCCCACUCCCUUGGGAAGGAUUCAAAGCCCAAAGCAGCCAGGUAGAGACACUGAAGCAUUAACCUUGCUUUCAAAUACCCUGGAACCUGCCUCCUCCUUUUAAAAUCCCCCCUACAUCUGCUGUUCUGAACUGAGGACAGAAGAAUUUUAUUCUGGUUUAUUCAUGCUUUUCUUUCAAACUUUCUUUCCACCUCCUGUCGGAGGACCUGCUCCUACCACCCCGGGGUGGCUGUGGCACACCACACCCUAGGGAGUGAAGCCAUUUCUAACUAACAGCCUGCAGCAGAACAGAGAGGAGGAAACAAGCUGCUGAAGAACACAGGGUUUGAAGGAGGUAAAAUGUUUAACUGCUAACCACAUCUGUGAAUUCAUAGUGAAAGUCCUCCUCAGGGCUGCAAUGACUCAAACUUCACUCAGCACCUGGGGAAUCCCAGCAGAACCACAUCAAGGAAGAGGAACCAAAGAUGCCUCAGCCCUUCAGUUUAAUCUGAAGCUGCUUUUUGCAUCCGUUCUGUAAGCCAGCCCCACCGGUUCUGUUCCCUGAAAUACCUCUCUGGCAGGAAGGCAGCACAGUACUUAAGGAGAUCAGCUCUAAAGAAGCUGAUGGAGUCAAGGGAAAGACAGGCUAUUACACAACCCACUCCUACCCCAAUUUAUCACAGGGCUUUGAGUUUUUGUGCUUCUGUUUCCACCUCUGCACACAAGGUAUUUCAAAAGUGGACAAGAGCAACAAAGAGGGUGAAUUUAAUUCUGUGUUUUCAGGAUCAGACUGAGCUAGUAUCAAGUCUUAUUUCAUUUGUAAAAAUUGUUUUGAGUAGGUUCCAGAUCACCUCCCUGCUUCAAUCUGUGCAAUACUUCCUCCAACACAACUGUGCUGUCACGGCAGGAACAACUGUUCAGGAAAAACGUAAAAAAACUCUUCGAAACCAGCACAGCCUAAACAGGUCAUAAAACUCUAUUGCUAGUUAUGUUUAGUUGGACAUGGUUUUUGAAUGCUUUGAAAUGCAGUUUCCCAGUCUGACUGUAUAGCUGGAACGUGGGAGAGAGCUCUAAAGUUUCAGAGCCUGUGAGAGCUCUAGGAUCUAAGUUAACCACCAGUGCCUUACUUCACUCCUUCCUCCAGCAUGCAAAGCAGCAGAGGCAACCUGAGAACACACUGUCAUAGCCAGGAACUCACAUCAGAGACACACAUGAGCUGUUGCUUACCUUCUGUUGAGACUGUGCAAAAUAGACCUCUGCAAACUUCAACACCAGCACAUAGUCACCCUCCUCUUUGAUGGGAACUUCAUAGCCAAAGGUUUCCUCAUUGUAGCGCUCGGUCUGGUACAGAAUCUGGUCUUCUGCGUUGGACCGCAGGAUUGGCAGCUUCAUCCCGUAGUCAGAAGCUGGUUUUCAAGCACAAAAGAGUGAGAGGAGGGGUUAAUUUCUGAGGCACAUGCAAGAAACACUUUAUAUACUCUUAUAGUGCUUAACUCCACAAGUAGCAUUUGCAUCCUUGUCAGACCCGUCUCCCCUCCUUGCUCUGACCAGGUGGCGGCACUACUGGAGCAGAAGCAGAGGGAGCCAAAGCCCCAGAACCCCAGCCCUGUAGGAAAACAGCUCUGGACCUGCUGCAGUCCAGACAAAGUAAAUUCACUUGCACCAUUUCAGAAAGAAGAGCUUGUUUCACAAACAGUGCACAAAGCCGAAAGACUUGGCCAUUGGCUCUUGUUCCUAAGAGGAAAAACACCUAGAAUAUUUUUACAGUAUUUUCAAAUCUCAGAGCCUGAGUAGAAAACAAAAACAGUGGGCACAGGACUGACUUGACUCAUUGAUACAACAGAUUUGAAGGUAGCAGUUGAUGGCAUCAGGUUUUAGAGACUCAUCCCCCUCAAGUGAAAACCUAGGGGAUGGCAGAAGUGUGAAAAGCAUUAGGCAUCUUACAACACCCUUUCCUCUCAUCGCAGCCCUGCAAUACUGUCAGCUUGAAGACAGGAAGAAGGAAGCAAGAUACACAAGGGUUUCAAGAGCACCAACAGCUCCAUCAGCUGCUGUUCUCACAGCCACCCAGCUGAAGUGGGUGCUGUCUGCAGCCAUCUGAACAGCCCUCUGAGAAGGGCCCAAACAACAUUCCUAAACAGGACAAUAACUGACAAAAUAAGAGAAAUCAUAAAAUUUGCCUCUUCUCACUGAUUGUUUCACCAUGUCUCAAGCAGCCCCCAAAAGACUUUAACUCGACUUGGCAUUUUAUUGUGCCAGGGUUACUGUACAAAUGCAAACUGAUGCAAUGCCUCCUGAGCUGCAAAUCCAACGACUCCCCAGCGAAGCAGGGGCAGGAGGGAAGACUGUGGACACCAUCUGCCCACUGGCACUUGAGGCAGGAGAAGUUGAUCCAGACGAAGUUCUCUGCUGACACUUACCACUUCCAACCCCAUUUCCAUGGGAACAGACACUGCAUCAGCCAAGACAAAGCAAGAACUACUAACCCAGAGCACGUUGCCAAAGACGGAGCCAAUGCAAACGAGUGAGAGGAAAUUAAUGCCAGUUCUUAGUCUCCUGUUUCACACAGAGCUGUUCAGGCGAUCGUCCGCUUCUCUGUACCACCCGAACCUGGGCGCAAGGACUGAACACUCUAAUCACCAGAAACACAGAGGGUGAAAAGUUUAACCUGUCCUCCCACACAGGUAUUUCUGGCCAGCUACAGAUUACAGCGACAGCAAACCAAGGACUCCACAGAAGUACGUUUCUAUUAGAGGAAAGCCUGCACAGGAAGCAAGUCCUUUAAUAGCCAAGAAGGUAACUGGAGAGGAAGACCUGUCACCUGCAUGUCAGAGCCCUGCUGACAGAGCUGUGGAGGCGAGCUGGGUUUUAUAGCAGGCUGGGUGCUCACUGGGAGCAAGCAGUGCCCAUCAAGCUGUAACACAACUAUGCCUGGCACCUGCCUAAUUCUGUAAUUGCCACCAGCACAUUCAGUCCUUCAGGGUACAGCGGCUGAACUGAGGCUUGAAAAAAAAGGUUUUAAUUUGCCCAGAGGCAGGACAGCCCAGAAUUACUAUCCCUAGGUCAUUUCCUCCCAGUCAGCCAUAUAUUUCUGCUGAAGCCAUUACAUGCCUAUCAACACAGAGGAACCCAGAGAAAACGAACAAUGGUGCAAUAAAAAGCCAUUGAGGGAAAUGCAGCUGAGAGCUCAAAGGGGUAAAGUCUUCACUGUGCCUGGCACCACUGGCUGAAGCAGAAUUACUGCAAUGGCCUGCUGUGCAGAGGAGACACCACAGGCUUUCCUCAAAGGAAGAACAUGUCACAAUGUGCUUGAGAAAGACCCUUUUUUCUCCUCAACUCAGAAAUAAAUUGUUCCAGUCCACAAGGACAUUCAAGUGACACAUGUGAGAGGUCUAUGAAGGGAAGCUGACCUGCAGCAGUCAAGGCACCUUGGGCAAUUGGGGCGCCAGCUUCCAUGGGUGUGAAAAACAAACCAUAUUAGAACUUAAAUGUAACCUCCCCUGCAUCCACUGUGCCCAAAAGGCUCUCCAUUUGGGAUAGCACUCAUGCAGGGUAAGCAAUGGCAGUGCCAGCUGCAUAGCACAGGAAUGUCCUCACCAUCCUACAUGGAAACAGUGAAGGUUAGACUCAAAAGUCAACAGAUAGCUCAUCUUCUCCACACUCCACCUGGAAAUGACUGCAGAGCAGCUCAGCACAGCUAACUUUUUAUACAUCUGUGAAUCAACUAAGUUUUGGUGUGCUAAUUAUCAGAAACAUGCACGAUUCAUACAACUGGAGUGGUUUCAAAGGAAGUAAGAAAAGGUAACCCAAGUGCAGUAUUAGUUCUACGUUCUGUUCUAACUAGUAGAGUGAAGAUUUUACUGAUCAGUAGCUACAGCAGCUGAUGAUAUCCCAUCUGCCUCUACUUCUACUUGUGUCCCUGCCCUUGAACACCCUGCCAGGACUGGGGCAUGGAGCAGACCAGCCAGCUGCACCUUCCCCCUGCUCGGGCCCAGCAGGACCAGAACGCUGCAACCAUCAGCCCGCACCGCCAGCGAUCCGGACCCGGCUGCGGAGGGCGGGCAGUGCGUGUUCUGACUGCAAGGUGCGUGCUGCGGGCUGGCUGCGAACCGGCAGGUCCUGCUGUGGAAGCCGGGCUGUUCAGUGGAAAACAAGAGAAAGAAGGAUCCCGGCGGCCGCACGCGGCCAGGCUGGCAGCCUUUCCAGCCGAAAUCCCACUCCAAGCCCGCGCGAAGCCACUUCCCCCCCGGCAUUACACAACCCCGCAGCCUGAGGACACCAUCCCGCAGGGCUCAUCCCGCAGGGCUCAUCCCGCCGCCUCCGGGGCCCCGGGUCCGCGGGGGCGGGGGAUGCGGCCCCGGCUGGGCCCGGCGAGAGGACGGGGGUGGCCGCGGUCCCGCGGGUGACAAGUGCGGGCGCUCCCCGCGGGCCCCGCCGUCCCCGGGCGGCUGCGGGAGCGGAGCCCCCGCCGCGCUGCGGGAACACCCCCCGCUCUGCCGCGGGCCGGCAGCACGCGGGUCCCGCACCCUGCUGGCACGGCGGGACCCCACCGCGCCAGUGGAGCGGGACCCCGUGUGGAGCCCCGCCGACAACCCCCCCGCGCCCCCGGCGCGUCCCCCCGCCCUCACCUCGGCCCACGCGGCCCUCGAGCGGGUCCUUGCGGAAGUGGAUGCCGUUCACGUCCACGUGGGCAUCGCCGCCCGCGUUGACGGCCCAGACGACGCUGUCGGCGAUGCCGCCCGCCGCGCCCCGCAGCAGCAGCAGCGGCGGCAGCAGCAGCAGCACGGGCGGCAGCAGCGGCGCCCCGCGCGCACCGGCGCCCACCAUGUCGCGCUCCCGGCGCCGCGCCCGCCCCUUCCUGCCGCCGACAGGGGGCGGCCUGCCCUGCUGCCGGGGCGGGGCGCGCGCCGGCCAAUCCGCGCGCCGCACCGCGAAUAUUAAAUAACUGCCUGCCUGCUAUUGGGCGGCCACGGAUGUGUAUUUGCAUAUUCAUACGGCGGCGGGCCAAUGGGAGGUGGCGGUGGGCAGGCGGGCUGAGCGGCGCGGGGCCGGUGGCUGGAGCGGGUCCCCGCGGGCCGGGGCGCGGGGCCGGGGCCGGGACCGGGACUGCCCGCGCGGGAAGGGAACGAGAGGGAACCGGCUCCGCAGAAAUGAGCGGGAGAUACAGACGGGGCUUCCCAGCGGUGUCCGCAGCGGGGACAGCCCGGCGAGCUGCCCCGAGCGCCGGCCGCCAGGGCAGAGCCCGCCCCUCCGCGCCGCCAAUCGCGGGGCUCCAGCGCGGCGGAGCGCGGGGCGGCGGCGGGAAGCGCGGCCGGCGGGUUGCCGUGGCAACGAGUGGCGCGGCGGCGCGGAGCGGAGCGGGCCCGGAGCGCUCGGGGAAGGGGCCGGGAGGGGAGCGAGGCAGCGGGAGCCCCGCCGCCGCGUCCCGGCAGCUCCGUGCCCGCUGCGCUCUGAACAGCAGCCCAAAGGCCUGGUUCGCGGCCCCGGUAGAACGCGCCGAUUCUCCUGUUCGGCCCUGCCAUGGAGGAUGGGGGAAGGCAGCUGCCGCCCGCCCGGUAAGGAGCGAGGCGGCCAGUGGCGUGAAAGCACCUUGGAGCGCAGUAACCUGCAUGAGAAGCAAAGCGGGCACUGAAGGGGAGGCGGGAGGUGACCGUGACACGGCCAGCGGGGCUGCUCCCAGGGCUGCGCCUUAUAGGAGAAUGUAACAUCAUGGUUUUUUCUGGAGGACCUUGGCAAGGUCUUGGGAGGGCUGGAGUGAGACAUCCCAGAUGGAGGUUGAACGAAACUCAGUCCCUACACGGCGGGGGGAGCAAAUAACUCAAUGUUCGCCUCUGUGUUUGCCCUCCUGUCUGAUCGCGGUGCUCCUCGAGGCGUCAGACACCGGUGAGGCCUCGGGGGUGUGCUCCAGACACCGGCUGCAUUAGCAGCGGCUGCUCCUGAGUCCCAGUGAUGUUUUAUUAAUUUGAGUCUGCUACAAAGCAUUUACUUUUAGAAAUAAAGACUUUUGGUGCUGCA